This 59-nucleotide small RNA is filed under the name human gut metagenome. The record is from RNAcentral.
UAUGCAACCGCACAAAAAAGGUUUUUAAGGAUUAGAUUCACCUUUAUGGCGUGUCUUAA